This 468-nucleotide ribosomal RNA is filed under the name uncultured bacterium. Its description in RNAcentral is "partial 16S ribosomal RNA". It matches the Rfam family "Bacterial small subunit ribosomal RNA", at positions 28 to 507 of the family's 1533-position model. The record is from RNAcentral.
GACGAACGCUGGCGGCGUGCUUAACACAUGCAAGUCGAACGGAAAGGCCCUGCUUUUGUGGGGUGCUCGAGUGGCGAACGGGUGAGUAACACGUGAGUAACCUGCCCUUGACUUUGGGAUAACUUCAGGAAACUGGGGCUAAUACCGGAUAGGAGCUCCUGCUGCAUGGUGGGGGUUGGAAAGUUUCGGCGGUUGGGGAUGGACUCGCGGCUUAUCAGCUUGUUGGUGGGGUUGUGGCUUACCAAGGCUUUGACGGGUAGCCGGGCUGAGAGGGUGACCGGCCACAUGGGGACUGAGAUACGGCACAGACUCCUACGGGAGGCAGCAGUGGGGAAUAUUGCACAAUGGGCGGAAGCCUGAUGCAGCAGCGCCGCGUGCGGGAUGACGGCCUUCGGGUUGUAAACCGCUUUCGCCUGUGACGAAGCGUGAGUGACGGUAAUGGGUAAAGAAGCACCGGCUAACUACGUG